This 207-nucleotide ribosomal RNA is filed under the name uncultured bacterium. Its description in RNAcentral is "partial 16S ribosomal RNA". It matches the Rfam family "Bacterial small subunit ribosomal RNA", at positions 568 to 774 of the family's 1533-position model. The record is from RNAcentral.
CACGUAGGCGGAUAUUUAAGUCAGGGGUGAAAUCCCAGAGCUCAACUCUGGGACUGCCUUUGAUACUGGGUAUCUUGAGUGUGGAAGAGGUAAGUGGAAUUCCGAGUGUAGAGGUGAAAUUCGUAGAUAUUCGGAAGAACACCAGUGGCGAAGGCGACACACUGGCUCAUUACUGACGCUGAGGCUCGAAAGCGUGGGGAGCAAACA